UUAAGCAGGAUGCUGCGUUUGGGGACGCGACUGUUUAUCUAGGAUCCUUGAGGAAGUCGCCUGGGCGCUGUCCCCUGCUCUCGGCCACCUGCGAGGAGAGAUUACACAUGUAAGAAAAAGGAGUAAGUGUCACUCUUAGAAAAGGAGAUCACAGCCCGGGGAAGCUGAAGCAGGAGGACUGCUUGAGUCCAGAAGUUCGAGACCAGCCUGUGCAACAAAGGCCUGGAGGAAGCCAGAAGCUAACGUUCUUUUCUGCUGAUCCCAAGUUUUGAAACAAAGCUUCUCUUCAUUAACCAACUGCAAAUCAGAAAAUCUUUGAAUCUGCCUAUAACCUGUGGGCCGCCACUUCAAGCACAUCUCAAAUCAGACCUAAACAGAUUUCUCAAGAACUACGUGUGACUAGUGGCUACUGUGAAGCCCUGGACAGUAAAACAUAAGAAUAUGAAACUUGAUCUUCUUUACCCAUAGCACAAGUAGGUGGAAAAGGAGGACUUUAGGAUGAAACUGACCACAACUAAUGGGAAAAAAAGAACUGGGUCCUCACUGACAUCAUUGGAGUCACUGGAUCAAGCUGCACUUGAAAUCGGCAUGACCUCAGAAACUCAGUUAUGUGAGCCAGUAAGCUCAAUUUACUGUUUAAAUGUAUCCUAUCACUGUUUAAAUGUUGUCCUAUCACUUCCGACAAAAGAAUCUGAACUGACACAGAGAGUGAUCAAUAAUAUAAAGCAAUUUAUUAUAUGCCAAAACUGAAGAAUGGACAGUAAGCAUCAAGUGUGCAGAGAAAGGAUAAAUCAACUUGAGACUAGCCUGGGCAACAUAGCGAGACCCUAUUUAAAAAAAAAAAAAA
Molecule: long non-coding RNA, 847 nt
Organism: Cercocebus atys (sooty mangabey)
Lineage: Eukaryota; Metazoa; Chordata; Mammalia; Primates; Cercopithecidae
Exons: 4
Source: RefSeq, a predicted model, not a curated record